CCAUCCGCCGUCCCCAGGAAGUGGAAGGACGGGGCGGGCAGGAGAAGAGGGAGGGAAGGAGGGGACGAGGGGCGGGAGCGGCGGGGAAAAAAACAGAAAGUGAAAACUGAACCGGAAAGACAGCGAGGGGCCGCCCGCGGGUUUUCCUGUUCCCGCGGUCACCGGCCCUUGGCUGCCCGUAGGCGGCUUUUCCUCUUCCGUGCCGGCCCUCGGCGCUGCUCGCUCGCUCCGAGCUCCUGCCGCGGCCAUCGGUGUUUGUCCUUGGUGGGGACCUUGCCCCAGGCUUGCUCUGACCUCCUCCUCCAUCGCCUCAGCCCCUCCAUGCCUGACUUCAGCUCUUCCCGCUGUCGUCCCUCACAUCAUGGGGAGAGACUCCUUUCUUUCCUUCCCCCUCAGUGUUCUCCCUCUUUUGUGUCUCCCCCAGUUCCUCCCCGACCAGCUCAGUGAUUGUUCGGCUCUUCCCGCUGCUCCUUCCCGCAUUUUCCUGCUUUGAGCUCUCAGUUCCUUCCCCAGAGCCAUGUUUUGGGCCUUCCUUCAGUCCCCAAACUCCUUUCCUUGUCCCCUCACAUCAUGGCCAGGGCUCCUUUUCUCACCUCGCUCUUCUCCCCUCAGUAUUUUCCCUUAGUUCCUUGUUUAGGACCUUCCCUCGGUCCCAUAACCCCAUUUCCUCACCUUGAGUUCUUUUCCUCACUUCAGAUCUUCCCCCUCAGUGUUUUCCCUCAGCUCCUUGUUUUGGGCCUUUCCUCAAUCCCAAAUUUCCUUAUUCCCUCACACUUCGCACCAUGGCCAGAGCACCUUCCCUCACCUCAGUCCUUCCCCCUCGGGAUUUUUCAGUUCUUGCUGGCAGAGAAAAAGCUGGAAUUCUUGCUGAGACGGAAGUACGUUCCUGAUUGCCCUUUAAAGGGGGGAAAAUCAACAGCCUCGAGCUAAGAGAUGUGAGGAGAUUCUGGGAAAUCCCAAGAGCAGAUCUGCAGUCAGAACAUCCAAGUUUCCACCUCCAGUGGGAUCAUUCCCAUCCCAGUAUUCCCAGUAAUCUCAUCCCAGGAACCCCUGCACCCCAUCCCAGUGUUCCCAGUUCCCCCAUCCCAGUCCCCCCAGUAAUCCCAUCCCAGUGUCCCCAGUUCUCCCGUCCCAGUAUCACCACCCCAGUCUCCCCAGUACCCCCAUUCCAGUAUCCCCAUUAUCCUCACCCCAGUAUCCCCAGUUCCCCCAUCCCAGUAUCCCCAGUAUCCCCAUCCCAGUAUCCCCAGUUCCCCCAUUCCAGUUCCCUCAUUCCAGUAUCCCCACUAUCCUCACCCCAGUAUCCCCAGUAUCCCCAGUAUCCCCAGUAUCCCCAGUAUCCUCAUCCCAGUAUCCCCAGUUCCCCCAUCCCAGUAUCCCCAGUAUCCCCAUCCCAGUAUCCCCAGUUCCCUUAUCCAAGUAUCCCCAGUUCCCCCAUCCCAGUAUCCCCUGUUCCCCCAUCCCAGUAUC
This 1470-nucleotide long non-coding RNA is filed under the name Cyanistes caeruleus (blue tit). RNAcentral describes it as "lncRNA (ENSCCEG00000004182.1)". Lineage: Eukaryota; Metazoa; Chordata; Aves; Passeriformes; Paridae. The record is from RNAcentral.